GAUGAAGAACGUAGCGAAAUGCGAUAAGUAGUGUGAAUUGCAGAAUUCAGUGAAUCAUCGAAUCUUUGAACGCUCAUUGCGCCUCUUGGUAUUCCAUGGGGCAUGCCUGUUCGAGCGUCAUUUGUACCUUCAAGCUCUGCUUGGUGUUGGGUGUUUGUCCUUGCUCUAGUGGCGGGACUCGCCUUAAAGUAAUUGGCAGCCAGUGUUUUGGUUUUGAAGCGCAGCACAAGUCGCGAUUCAAGUCUAUACGCUAGUUUCCACAAGUCUUUUAUCACUUUUGACCUCGGAUCAGGUAGGGAUACCCGCUGAACUUAAGCAUAUCAAUAAGCGGAGGA
This 335-nucleotide unclassified non-coding RNA is filed under the name soil metagenome. RNAcentral describes it as "partial contains 5.8S ribosomal RNA, internal transcribed spacer 2, and large subunit ribosomal RNA". The stretch from base 1 to 120 matches the Rfam family "5.8S ribosomal RNA", at positions 35 to 154 of the family's 154-position model. The record is from RNAcentral.